Molecule: ribosomal RNA, 476 nt
Filed under: uncultured bacterium
Lineage: Bacteria
Description: partial 16S ribosomal RNA
Rfam family: Bacterial small subunit ribosomal RNA
Source: RNAcentral
AAUGAACGUUGGCGGCGUGGAUUAGGCAUGCAAGUCGAGCGGGUGUAGCAAUACACCAGCGGCGAAAGGGAGAGUAAUACGUGGAUACCUACCCUCGGGCCUGGGAUAGCUUCGGGAAACUGAAGGUAAUACCAGAUAACGUCCCCGGACCAAAGGUGUGAUUACGUCCGAGGAGGGGUCCGCGGCCUAUUAGCUAGUUGGUGAGGUAACGGCCCACCAAGGCGAAGAUGGGUACGAGGCGUGAGAGCGUGUCCUCGCUCACUGGGACUGAGACACUGCCCAGACACCUGCGGGUGGCUGCAGUCGAGAAUCUGCGGCAAUGGGCGCAAGCCUGACCGAGCGACGCCGCGUGCGGGAUGAAGGCCUUCGGGUUGUAAACCGCUGUCAGUAGGGAGGAAUGGUUUGGGGGUUCUCCCCCAGAUUUGACCUAUCUGCAGAGGAAGGACGGGCUAAGUUCGUGCCAGCCGCCGCCGUAA